UCCCAUUGAGCUCUCUGUACAAAUCAUCGGAUCAACGUAAAAUGGAGAAAAUCGAUAUCUCCUGCUUCUUUUGGAUUAUAUAGAGGAUUAGGGUUUUCAUGUUGGGACCUCGAGCACAACAUCCAGGCCAUCUAACUGGAGGAAAAAGUGAAUCCGUUUUCACGACUUCAUGUUGGGUGUCCAUAGUCGCCUUCAAGGUCUGUGUACACCGGAGUAGUCUUCUACAAGAAGUUGUGUGGAGUAUCCAUUAUUCAAAGGUGAGCUUUUAUGCAAGUAUUGAAUUUAGAUUUUAGGCAUUAAAAACUAAGCGAG
Molecule: long non-coding RNA, 312 nt
Organism: Magnolia sinica
Lineage: Eukaryota; Viridiplantae; Streptophyta; Magnoliopsida; Magnoliales; Magnoliaceae
Exons: 3
Source: RefSeq, a predicted model, not a curated record